This 393-nucleotide ribosomal RNA is filed under the name uncultured bacterium. RNAcentral describes it as "bacterial SSU rRNA". It matches the Rfam family "Bacterial small subunit ribosomal RNA", at positions 28 to 422 of the family's 1533-position model. The record is from RNAcentral.
GACGAACGCUGGCGGCGUGCUUAACACAUGCAAGUCGAGCGGUAAGGCCCUUUCGGGGGUACACGAGCGGCGAACGGGUGAGUAACACGUGGGUGACCUGCCUUUAGCUCUGGGAUAAGCCUGGGAAACCGGGUCUAAUACCGGAUAUGACUCCGCGGCGCAUGUUGUGGGGUGGAAAGCCUUGUGCGGCUGGAGAUGGGCCCGCGGCCUAUCAGCUUGUUGGUGGGGUGAUGGCCUACCAAGGCGACGACGGGUAGCCGGCCUGAGAGGGCGACCGGCCACACUGGGACUGAGACACGGCCCAGACUCCUACGGGAGGCAGCAGUGGGGAAUCUUGCGCAAUGGGCGAAAGCCUGACGCAGCGACGCCGCGUGAGGGAUGACGGCCUGGUGU